AUCCAACAUCUUAAAAUACACCUGAAAGGCAUUCUUAUGUAACUUAAAAGUUUUCAACAAUAGCAAAGAAAUCAAAUCAUAAUAGCUGGUGAAUAAAACUUAAAACAGCCAAAGAAAAGGCUUUAAACGCUUGGCAAUUCAUAUGACUUAAAGAAAUGGCAGGUGAAAAGUUGAGAUAAAUCCAAGUCACUGCAAGAAAAUAAAUGUUCCUUAGUGCUCUAACUGGCCUCUGACUUUUAUCCACACAGAACUGAAUAUCUUGGUGAAAAUGAACAAAAUUUCUGAAAUUGAAGUUGAUAAAGAAUUGAGAUGUAAUAGAGGCUUCUAAAAUUUCCGCCUAAUUGUCAGCUGACAGAAAUUAAACAUCAUUGGAAAUGGUUAUGAGCUUCGAUCCUUCUAGCUCACAAUCAUAGGAUAUAGAAAUUCCAUGCAUCAACCGAAUAUGAAAAUAACUAUGUUAGAAUCAGAUUGGUUUAUCAAAUUAUCUUCUAAACUUAACAGCUUUUGAUGAGCGUGUUAAGAUAUGUGCCAUAAAUAACUAGGAUAUGUGUA
RNAcentral lists this unclassified non-coding RNA (552 nucleotides) under Hevea brasiliensis (rubber tree). Lineage: Eukaryota; Viridiplantae; Streptophyta; Magnoliopsida; Malpighiales; Euphorbiaceae. The record is from RNAcentral.